AUCCUCUCUGAAGCUGUAAUAAUGUUUUAGAGCUACCCCACUGUCCUCGAUGCUAGGACAUGGCCAACCUGGAGGUGAAGGUGAAAAAUCCUUGCCCUCAGCCCAGCCCUUUGAUUCUCAUUGCUUUAGCCCUCUAGUGGUAGCCAUUGCAAUCUCAGAAAGACAGUUACACCAGACUUGAAGAACAAAUAGUGGAUUUAAUCUGUUUCAUAGCUUCAUGUGUGACCAGUUCACAGCCAAGGAUACAUAUGAAUAUCACCAAAUUAAAUUCAGGGAUUUCCUUAAAACAUCAGGAGGGAGUUUUGCAAAUAUAUUUUAGGAACUUGAUUGUGUGGUCCUCAAGCAUGAAUUAGAAGAUCACUUUGUAUCAUAACAUCAAAAGGUUAGAUACUUCAGAUGAAUACAUAUCGUAAAAACACAUAUUAAAUCAAUCUUAACUCUGAGAAGACUCCAUUGUUAGGAAGUUAAAGUUGUGACCCACUCAGUUAUCUUAGUAAACCAAACAUGUAAUGAAAAAGCUGUUUUAGAAACCCAUACCACUUUACAUUGAGUGUCCUAAGCCUUGUGACAUACAAAAACGUCUGCAUUUUCAACAUCUCUUACCCAUCGUGUAGAGUGAAAAGAACUUUUUGUAUGAAUCCCUCUUCCCAUGAGCUUAUUCUCGCCAUCAGAAAUGCAUUUCUUUGCUUGCAUCUGUUUAUGGGCUGCUUCCUUCCUUUGUUAAAUCCAGAUGUACUUCAGGUGUCUUGUUUUCCUGGAAGGUAUAAAACCAUGAAACAGCAAACAUCAUGUUUUGUCUUUUACAAAAUGGAAUUAGAUCCACAUUAUUAUCAAGUGUUACACUGUUACUUGUUAAUGUGCUUUUUACUAUCUGGCUUUAAUAACCAUGUGACAUUCUUUGUUAAAUGCUGAUAUCUCCUUUUGCUUAACAAAUUUAAAAUAAUUCAGGAUGUUAGAUUUGCUUGUAUUUCAUGAAUUAAAGGAAAUUUGAACUAA
RNAcentral lists this long non-coding RNA (996 nucleotides) under Rattus norvegicus (Norway rat). RNAcentral's name for it is "long non-coding RNA NONRATT000002". The record is from RNAcentral. Lineage: Eukaryota; Metazoa; Chordata; Mammalia; Rodentia; Muridae.